GCAGCCAGUAGAAUCAAUAACAAUUAUAUCUCCAUAUUGAGUUUAGCCCUUAACCUGAACAUUUUUCUUAAUUUUAUGUUUACAUUCAUAUAGUGUUUAAUUCUUACACAGUUCCCUGUGGUAAGUAGGUGAGGGGUUGUUACCUUUGAUUUUUGUACUGCGUUUUACAUGAGACAUAUUUGUGAAAUCCAUUUUUAUAAAUAGUUUGAAGCCCAGUGAGGCUGAGUAACUACUCCAGGAUCACUUGUUUAGUAUUUGGCUUGAGCAGGAUUACAGUUUAGUUCUUCCAUCUGAUUCUGCCUCUCUUCUAGUACCUCCUCAUCCAUUUGCUAUAAAAGUAGCCCAGCAGCUGAAUUGCCAUGUGAUACUGCGCCCUUCUUACCAACCAGGUGAUGGCAAUAAUAGGAAAAGAGGCAAAAGAUCAGGAGACCUUUACCACAUGUGCUGCCCAAGUAGUUGUAGCAACUGAAGCUACAAUCCUAGCAUCAACCAAAAUGUGUGUCCAGUCAGAAAAACAGAGUCCUCAUAACCUCUAA
Molecule: long non-coding RNA, 536 nt
Filed under: Fukomys damarensis (Damara mole-rat)
Lineage: Eukaryota; Metazoa; Chordata; Mammalia; Rodentia; Bathyergidae
Description: lncRNA (ENSFDAG00000029726.1)
Source: RNAcentral